CGUACAGGAAGCGUAAAGGUGUGUACGAUUAAGAGGGGCUAUGUCUAAGCUCAGGGGUCUGACCUGAACCACCUGACUGACUGCUAACCCCACAGU
RNAcentral lists this small nucleolar RNA (96 nucleotides) under Echinops telfairi (small Madagascar hedgehog). RNAcentral's name for it is "Small nucleolar RNA SNORA17 (ENSETEG00000026289.1)". It matches the Rfam family "Small nucleolar RNA SNORA17". From Rfam's summary of the family: snoRNA ACA 17 belongs to the H/ACA family of snoRNAs and is predicted to guide pseudouridylation of the 28S rRNA at positions U4659 and U4598. It shares the same host gene together with ACA43. The record is from RNAcentral. Lineage: Eukaryota; Metazoa; Chordata; Mammalia; Afrosoricida; Tenrecidae.